Molecule: long non-coding RNA, 1519 nt
Organism: Dermacentor albipictus
Lineage: Eukaryota; Metazoa; Arthropoda; Arachnida; Ixodida; Ixodidae
Source: RefSeq, a predicted model, not a curated record
UUUACCGGUAUUUCCGAGUGCACGGCGGCACGGAUUCAUUCGUUCGUACACUCAAGACUGGUUGCUUCUUUGUUUCUAAAACUAGUUUCUUGCGCUUCGAUGUAACUUGGGGUGAAGUUACGUGUUUGCAAGCGGACAUGUAAGCCCGGCAGUUGGGUUUCGGUCGUGAGCCAUUCGGAACAGGUCUGCAUCGAAACGGGAGCUGGAUUUUGCUGCGGCUGACAACGGCAAUAACGACAUGCAGUAAUGAGGACGGCGCCAGUAUAAAGCAACACACUCCACGCACUAAACAGAAGCUGCUGCCUGCUACAACAAGGUCAUUGUGUGGACAUUGGCUACUACUACAAGAGUCUAUGCCAAGCACAUCUUGGUCGUCACAGGAGCUCCUAUCUGCACUAACAGGAAGGGGCUGGAGCCGAAUUUGCAAGGCUUUUACACCAAGAACAAAGAAGCACAUGCACAAGAAUAUGCAUGAGAUAUCAAGUCUGCAAAGGACUGUGUUAAGACUGCAAAGAGCUUCAGCCACCAUUCCACCAGCACGGUCAUUUGGCUGAGUCAUCCAGGUAACUCAAAAAGGACUUUCUAGAAAUUCUUCGUCUUCAGAUGCACCUGCAACAUCUGACCAAGCACGGACGACGCUGGCCAAAAGAUUGAGUUCCAUCAGUUUGCCCUUAAUCAGCUUCCUAGCCAUGUUAAUUCCGUUUGUGCCAAGUGUAAUUUUUCUUCUAUAAAUGCAAGCUUUCUCAUUGCCCAUUUUUGUUAGAGGUCAUUCAUCCUCAUCCAAAUAUAAAGGUCAACCGAUUCUUCGCUGAUACUUAAUACCAGUCACUGUCUAGCAGCCUAACAUAUCUGUAGCAGUAUCUUCUAGUGUAUGUUGUCAUGCGCAAUUACUCUCCUGAAAUAGCUGAUGCAGCAUCGGCAUGCGUCUUGCAUUAACCUAUGCACAUGUGCUAUGCACCAUUUUACUUUUCUUGAUGUUUUUAGCCUUCAAUGCUUGCAGAGCAGAGUGGCUUCUCUCUUGAAUGCAAGCUUUCUCAUUUUCCAUAUUCCUAGUCUCGUUGAUGAUUGCUCCUCUUCCUUGAUAGCCUGGGUCUUUGUGCAAGCUACAGUGAAGUGAUUGAUUGCAGAAUCUGGUUUUGCUGCCACACUUGGUUGUGGUAACUGUGUUACGUUUCUGAGAUGUGGGGGCCUGGUCAGUUGCAUUGGUAAGCAGUCCCUUGAGGUAAGCAUUUGCUCCUGCAGUCCGCAAAGCGACAUAGACUCCCAGUAUACACACACCGUAACUGGUGCGCUCCGUUCGUUCUGGCCUGCUGCAGCCAUGGGCAAAUUGUGCUUGUGGCCUACCUCGGCCAUAAUUUGCUCAAAACGGAGACCAGCAUAUGUGCUUACAUGGUUCGAAGUGUAUGAAGUUGAUAGCCGUAUGGGUGGAAAGGCCCGCAAGAAUGGCUGCCGAAGGUGAUGCCCACAAAAGCGACUUGUCCACAUUGCGACAAAGUGGGACACAAAGUGUGAGCCACAC